Molecule: ribosomal RNA, 2976 nt
Filed under: Aceticella autotrophica
Lineage: Bacteria; Bacillati; Bacillota; Clostridia; Thermoanaerobacterales; Thermoanaerobacteraceae
Description: thermophilic bacterium 3443-3Ac 23S ribosomal RNA
Rfam family: Bacterial large subunit ribosomal RNA
Source: RNAcentral
AGGUCAAGUUACAAAGGGCGUAUGGAGGAUGCCACAGGCACUUAGAGCCGAAGAAGGACGCAGCCAGCGGCGAAACGCUCCGGGGAGUCGCAAGCAGACCGAGAUCCGGAGAUAUCCGAAUGGGGAAACCUGCUUAAGGCAAUACUUAAGCAUCUGCUGAUGAAUAAAUAAUCAGCAGAAGGGAAACCGCGUGAACUGAAACAUCUAAGUAACGCGAGGAAAAGAAAGAAAACAAUCGAUUCCCUGAGUAGUGGCGAGCGAAAAGGGAGAAGCCCAAACCGGUAUCACAGAUACCGGGGUUUAGGACCGCAAAAAGGAGUAUCCAACGAAGCCGAAGGGACCUGGGAAGGCCCGCCAAAGAAGGUGAAAGCCCUGUAGGCGAAAGGAAGAUACCCGAGUGGGAUCCAGAGUACCACAGGAUAGGCAACCCGGUGGGAAGACGGGAGGACCAUCUCCCAAGGCUAAAUACUACUAAGUGACCGAUAGCGCAUAGUACCGUGAGGGAAAGGUGAAAAGAACCCCGGGAGGGGAGUGAAACAGAACCUGAAACCAUAUGUCCACAAGCAGUGGAAGUCAAGCGAAAGCAGACGACCGCGUACUUUUUGUAGAACGGACCGGCGAGUUAUAGGUAUGCAGCGAGGUUAAGCGAGAGCGGAGCCGAAGCGAAAGCGAGUCUAAAGAGGGCGAAAGUUGCAUGCCAUAGACCCGAAACCGUGCGACCUACCCAUGAUCAGGGUGAAGCCGGAGUAAGAUCUGGUGGAGGCCCGAACCACGUUGACGUUGAAAAGUCAUGGGAUGAAUUGUGGGUAGCGGAGAAAUUCCAAUCGAGCACGGAGAUAGCUGGUUCUCCCCGAAAUAGCUUUAGGGCUAGCCUCAGGGUAGAAGAUAUGGAGGUAGAGCACUGAAUGGGAAAGGGGCCAGAAAGGCUACCGAACCCUAUCAAACUCCGAAUGCCAUAUCAAGACCUGGGAGUCAGACUGCGAAUGAUAAGAUCCGUAGUCAAAAGGGAAACAGCCCAGACCGACAGCUAAGGUCCCAAAGAGCAAGUUAAGUGGGAAAGGAAGUAGGAUAUCCAAGACAACCAGGAUGUUGGCUUAGAAGCAGCCAUACAUUCAAAGAGUGCGUAAUAGCUCACUGGUCGAGAAGUCCUGCGCCGAAAAUAAACGGGGCUAAAACAUGCCACCGAAGCUUCGGCUAAGCAGAGGUCAGAUGUGAGAGGUUAGAAGAAGCAAAUAUACACACUGAUAAAGAAGUGGAAAUAAUUCUGAUAUCUGACUUCCGACAUCUGACUUCUGCGAAGGGUAGGGGAGCGUACUGUACAGGAAGAAGGCCAAGCGGAAGCGAAGCUGGACAGUACAGUAGAGAGAAUGCCGGUAUAAGUAACGAGAGUAAGGAGAGAAACCUUACCGUCGAAAGCCUAAGGAUUCCUGGGGAAGGGUAAUCCGCCCAGGGUAAGUCGGGACCUAAGCCGAGGCGUAAGCGUAGGCGAUGGACAACCGGUAGACAAUCCGGUACCACCAAAGACCGCAAAAGAGAAGCGGGGACGCAGCGAGAUAAGAGGAGCGUGCGGUUGGUAGAGCACGUCCAAGCAGCGACGAAAAGAGUAUGGAGGGAAGGCCCCAAACUCAUAAGAGCUGUGAUGGGGAGCCGGAAGGCGAAGCCUCAAAGGGGCUGCCAAGAAAAGCCGCUAUCGAGGUCAGAGGUGCCCGUACCGCAAACCGACACAGGUAGGCGAGGAGAGAAUCCAAAGACGAGCGGGAGAACCCUCAUUAAGGAACUCGGCAAAAUGACUCCGUAACUUAGGGAGAAGGAGUGCCGAAAGGCCGCAGAGAAGAGGCCCAAGCGACUGUUUACCAAAAACACAGGUUUCUGCUAAGUCGAAAGACGAAGUAUAGGAGCUGACGCCUGCCCGGUGCUGGAAGGUUAAGGGGAAGUGUUAUCUGAGAAGAGAAGCACAGAACUUAAGCCCCAGUAAACGGCGGCCGUAACUAUAACGGUCCUAAGGUAGCGAAAUUCCUUGUCGGGUAAGUUCCGACCCGCACGAAAGGCGUAACGACUUGGGCGCUGUCUUGAUGGGGGACCCGGUGAAAUUGUAGUACUCGUGAAGAUGCGAGUUACCCGCGACAGGACAGAAAGACCCCAUGGAGCUUUACUGCAGCUUGUCACUGGAUUUUAGUAAUUUCCGUACAGGAUAGGUGGGAGGCGGAGAAAGUAGGGCGCAAGCCUUACCGGAGCCGACGUUGGGAUACCACCCCGAGAUUACCGAAAUUCUAACAUAUAAGCCGUAAGCCGGCAUAUGGACACUGACAGGCGGGCAGUUUGACUGGGGCGGUCGCCUCCAAAAGAGUAACGGAGGCGCCCAAAGGUUACCUCAGCGCGGUUGGAAAUCGCGCGAGAGAGUGCAAAGGCAGAAGGUAGCCUAACUGUGAGUCCAACAAGACGAGCAGGGACGAAAGUCGGGCUUAGUGAUCCGGCGGUAGAGAAUGGGAUUGCCGUCGCUCAACGGAUAAAAGCUACCCUGGGGAUAACAGGCUGAUCUCCCCCAAGAGUCCACAUCGACGGGGAGGUUUGGCACCUCGAUGUCGGCUCAUCGCAUCCUGGGGCUGAAGUAGGUCCCAAGGGUUGGGCUGUUCGCCCAUUAAAGCGGUACGCGAGCUGGGUUCAGAACGUCGUGAGACAGUUCGGUCCCUAUCCGUCGCGGGCGCAGGAAAUUUGAGAGGAACAGUCCUUAGUACGAGAGGACCGGGAUUGACGAACCGAUGGUGUACCAGUUGCAUCGCCAGAUGCACAGCUGGGUAGCCAAGUUUGGAAGGGAUAAACGCUGAAAGCAUCUAAGCGUGAAACCCACCUCAAGAUAAGAUUUCCCACCUGAAAAGGAUAAGACACCUUGAAGAAGACGAGGUAGAUAGGCCGGAGGUGUAAGAGUAGAAAUACUUUCAGCUGACCGGUACUAAUAAGUCGAGGACUUGACCACAA